This 454-nucleotide ribosomal RNA is filed under the name uncultured Thermovirga sp. Its description in RNAcentral is "bacterial SSU rRNA". It matches the Rfam family "Bacterial small subunit ribosomal RNA", at positions 937 to 1382 of the family's 1533-position model. Lineage: Bacteria; Thermotogati; Synergistota; Synergistia; Synergistales; Thermovirgaceae. The record is from RNAcentral.
GCACGUGGUUUAAUUCGAUGCAAACCGAAGAACCUUACCUGGGUUUGACAUGUGCGUGUUACUGAGGUGAAAGCCGAGGGACCAUAUCUUCGGAUGUGGAGCGUACACAGGUGCUGCAUGGCUGUCGUCAGCUCGUGUCGUGAGAUGUUGGGUUAAGUCCCGCAACGAGCGCAACCCUGCAUUCAGUUGCCAACGGUAAGGCCGGGCACUCUGGAUGGACUGCCGGCGACAAGCCGGAGGAAGGUGGGGAUGACGCCAAGUCAUCAUGGCCCUUAUGUCCAGGGCGACACACGUGCUACAAUGGCCGGCACAGCGGGAAGCGAGGGGGCGACCUUGAGCGGAUCCCUCAAAGCCGGUCUCAGUUCGGAUUGCAGUCUGCAACUCGACUGCAUGAAGUUGGAAUCGCUAGUAAUCGUGGAUCAGCCAAGCCGCGGUGAAUACGUUCCCGGGCCUU